GUUUGUGAUGCAGGUACGAUGGGAACAUAGGUCACACUUUUUUGAAUUCAAAUAAAGUAAAGUAGGGCAGGCUUUUCAUCAUAUGUUCAUCCCCUUCAUAUUGAAGGAGGUUAGUUACUUAGAAAAACCUAAAAAACCUUACGUCUCAUAUCUAUUUGAAUUUUCAACGAUCCAUUUUAAAUCGCAAUAAGAAAGAACCUACCUUCCCUAUCUCUUAUUCCCUAUCCAUUAAACUUAAAUGAGGCAGCCCUAUUAUUAGGUUAGGACCUCUGAAUUCUAAAUAAGAGACAAGAGGGGGUUAUUAUAUUCAAUCAAUGGGAUUAAGUCUCUUAAGACUUGGGUUAGGGUAAAAUAAAAAUUAGGAGCAAGGGCUUAAUCUGGACUUGUUUGUCUUUGUCCCUAGAUAGUUCCCUUUCCGUAAAAGGGAUCUUUUUUGAUUUCUGAUUCAGCAUUCCCAGAGAAUUGGGGGGGGGGUAGAUAGGUCUUAAUCAGCAACGGGAGAUAUUCAUUUAAAUAUCUGUGUCUGUCCGAAUCUCAUUAACAACGAAUCAAGUUACAUAUGUAACCGAUGUUUUUUUGACCUUUUUAGGUAUUUCGCGUUUGGCUCUAAUGAAGAAUUGUAAAUCGAUGUAACGAUUGAUACGGGGUAAUUCAUAUAUUUUAGUCACUUUAUGCCAAGAUAAUUCAUAUAUUUUAGUCACUUUAUGCCAAGAUUGCAGAAAGAUUACUUAAUUCCAGGUUAAAAAAUAAAAAUACAUAUAAAAUGAGGAAAUACGUAGUUUAACUUAAUAUGUAAUAUAUAUGUAUUUUUAUUAUUCGAUUUC
Molecule: long non-coding RNA, 824 nt
Filed under: Panax ginseng (ginseng)
Lineage: Eukaryota; Viridiplantae; Streptophyta; Magnoliopsida; Apiales; Araliaceae
Description: long non-coding RNA (PGIN_LNC003738)
Source: RNAcentral